This 1431-nucleotide ribosomal RNA is filed under the name metagenome. Its description in RNAcentral is "bacterial SSU rRNA". It matches the Rfam family "Archaeal small subunit ribosomal RNA". The record is from RNAcentral.
ACCCGUUGAUCCUGCGGAGAUUGCUGCUAUCGGGAUUCGAUUAAGCCAUGCAAGUCUAGGGGGUCUUCGGACCACCGGCGAAAUGCUCAGUAACACGUUGAUAAUCUGACUUUUGGUCUGGAAUAGCCUUGGGAAACUGAGGGUAAUACCGGAUAGAAGAAUUUGCCUGGAAUGGUUUUUCUUUGAAAGAUUACGCCAAAAGAUGAGUCAGCGGCGGAUUAGAUUGUUGGUGAGGUAACGGCUCACCAAGUCGAAGAUCCGUAGGGGCCUUGAGAGAGGUAGCCCCGAGAAGGACACUGAGAUACUGGUCCUAGCCCUACGGGGUGCAGCAGGCGCGAAACCUUUACAAUGCACGAAAGUGUGAUAAGGGAAUCCUGAGUGCUUAUGCUUUGCAUAGGCUUUUGCCGAGAGUAAAUAUCUCGGAGAAUAAGUGGUGGGCAAGACUGGUGCCAGCAGCCGCGGUAACACCAGCGCCACGAGUGGCAAUCGUUUAUUGGGCCUAAAGCGUCCGUAGCUGGUUUGGCAAAUCUCUUGUGAAAUCGCUGGGCUUAACCUAACGGCGUGCAGGGGACACUACCAGACUUGAGACCAGGAGGAGUCAGAGGUAUUUUUGGGGGAGUGGUAAAAUGCAGUAAUCCCAAAAGGACCACCUGUGGCGAAGGCGUCUGACUAGAAUGGUUCUGACAGUGAGGGACGAAAGCCAGGGGAGCGAUCCGGAUUAGAUACCCGAGUAGUCCUGGCCGUAAACGCUGCGAGCAAGGCGUUGCACAUUCUCGAGGAUGUGCAGUGUCGAAACGAAGGUGUUAAGCUCGCCGCCUGGGAAGUACGGUCGCAAGACUGAAACUUAAAGGAAUUGGCGGGGGAGCACCACAAGGGGUGCGGCGUGCGGUUUAAUCUAACUCAACGCAGAAAAUCUCACCAGAGGCGACGGCAGGAUGAAGGUCAAGCUGAAGACUUUACCUGACGAGCCGAGAGGUAGUGCAUGGCCGUCGUCAGCUCAUGCCGUAAGGUGUCCUGCUAAGUCAGGCAACGAGCGAGACCUGUAUCCAUAAUUGCUAGCGGCUCUAUUAGAGGACCGAGCACUUUAUGGGGACUGCUCUGGAAACAGAGAGGAAGGUGCAGGCUACGGUAGGUCUGUAUGCUCCGAAUCCUUUGGGCUACACGCGCGCAACAAUGGUAAGGACAAAGGGACACAACUCCGAAAGGAGAAGUUAAUCCUCUAAACCUUAUCCAAGUCCAGAUCGAAGGUUGUAACUCACCUUCGUGACGAUGGAAUCCCUAGUAAUCGGAAGUCAUCAUCUUCCGGUGAAUAUGUCCCUGCUCCUUGCACACACCGCCCGUCAAACCACUCGAGCAGGGUUUAGAUGAAAAUCAGCUUUUUGGUUGGUUUGAAUCUAAGCUCAGUGAGAUGGGUUAAGUCGUCACAAGGUC